GCCGGGAUGGCGGAAUGGUAGACGCACGGGACUCAAAAUCCCGCGCUGGCAACAGCAUGAGAGUUCGAGUCUCUCUCCCGGCA
This 83-nucleotide transfer RNA is filed under the name Candidatus Moraniibacteriota bacterium. RNAcentral's name for it is "tRNA-Leu". It matches the Rfam family "tRNA". Rfam says of the family: Transfer RNA (tRNA) molecules are approximately 80 nucleotides in length. The record is from RNAcentral. Lineage: Bacteria; Candidatus Moraniibacteriota.